AUUGAACGCUGGCGGCAUGCUUUACACAUGCAAGUCGAACGGCAGCGCGGGCUUCGGCCUGGCUGCGAGUGGCGAACGGGUGAGUAAUGCAUCGGAACGUGCCCAGUAGUGGGGGAUAGCCCGGCGUAAGCCGGAUUAAUACCGCAUACGACCUGAGGGUGAAAGCGGGGGACCGAAAGGCCUCGCGCUAUUGGAGCGGCCGAUGUCGGAUUAGCUAGUUGGUGGGGUAAAGGCUUACCAAGGCGACGAUCCGUAGCUGGUCUGAGAGGGCGAUCAGCCACACGGGGACGUGGCCACGGCCCAGACUCCUAAGGGACGCCGCAGUGGGGAACUUUGGACAAUGGGGGGAAACCUGGUCCAGCCAUGCCGCGUGCGGGAAGAAGGCCUUCGGGUUGGAAACCGGUCUUUUGCGGGAAGAAAUCCUCUGGGCUAAUACCACGGGGGGAUGACGGUACCGGAAGAAUAAGCACCGGCUAACUACGUG
RNAcentral lists this ribosomal RNA (484 nucleotides) under uncultured bacterium. RNAcentral's name for it is "partial 16S ribosomal RNA". It matches the Rfam family "Bacterial small subunit ribosomal RNA", at positions 28 to 507 of the family's 1533-position model. The record is from RNAcentral.